UUUCCGUAGGUGAACCUGCGGAAGGAUCAUUAUCGAGUUGAAGCCAUUUUAAUCGAUGGCCGAUACACACAAUUCCCUGCGAAACGUUGAUUGUUCUUACAACAACCAAACCUAUUUAACCACACACAAACAAGCUGAUCAUGUAAUCUACGAUGCAAUCAAAUAAAAAUCACAAUCGUGACAACUUUUAACAACGGAUAUCUUGGCUCUC
This 211-nucleotide unclassified non-coding RNA is filed under the name soil metagenome. RNAcentral describes it as "partial contains small subunit ribosomal RNA, internal transcribed spacer 1, and 5.8S ribosomal RNA". The record is from RNAcentral.